GCCCGUGUGGUGGAAUUCGGCAGACACGCUAGUCUUAGGAACUAGUCUCUUCGGGGGUGCAGGUUCAAGUCCUGUCACGGGUAC
This 84-nucleotide transfer RNA is filed under the name Streptomyces phage Comrade. RNAcentral describes it as "tRNA-Leu". It matches the Rfam family "tRNA". From Rfam's summary of the family: Transfer RNA (tRNA) molecules are approximately 80 nucleotides in length. Their secondary structure includes four short double-helical elements and three loops (D, anti-codon, and T loops). RNAcentral also lists the same sequence under 4 other names. The record is from RNAcentral. Lineage: Duplodnaviria; Heunggongvirae; Uroviricota; Caudoviricetes; Stanwilliamsviridae.